AAUGAACGCUGGCGGCGUGCUUAACACAUGCAAGUCGAGCGAGGUUUUACAGCACACCGUAAAGUCUAGCGGCAGACGGGUGAGUAACACGUAGGAAAUCUGCCCUGAAAAGAGGAAUACCCCCGAGAAAUCGGAGUUAAUACCUCAUAAGACCACAGCCCGGCAUCGGGAAGGGGUCAAAGCCCGUAAGGGCGUUUCGGGAUGAUCCUGCGUCCUAUCAGCUAGUUGGCGGGGUAAUGGCCCACCAAGGCUAAGACGGGUAGCCGGCCUGAAAGGGCGAUCGGCCACAAUGGAACUGAGACACGGUCCAUACUCCUACGGGAGGCAGCAGUGGGGAAUUUUGGACAAUGGGCGAAAGCCUGAUCCAGCGACGCCGCGUGGAGGAUGAAGGUCUUCGGAUUGUAAACUCCUUUUGGAGGGGACGAAAAAAAUGACGGUACCCUCAGAAAAAGCCACGGCUAACUACGUGCCAGCAGCCGCGGUAAUACGUAGGUGGCGAGCGUUACUCGGAAUUACUAGGCGUAAAGCGCAUGCAGGUGGUUGGAUAAGUCUGUAGUGAAAUUUCCCGGCUCAACUGGGAAGGGUCUACGGAAACUAUCCGGCUUGAGUAUGGGAGAGG
RNAcentral lists this ribosomal RNA (619 nucleotides) under uncultured bacterium. RNAcentral describes it as "bacterial SSU rRNA". It matches the Rfam family "Bacterial small subunit ribosomal RNA", at positions 28 to 657 of the family's 1533-position model. The record is from RNAcentral.